GAUCGGGUACCUUUUGCAUAAUGGCCCUACGAGUUACGUUUCGUGGCGAGGUUAAGCCGUAAGGUGGAGCCGGAGGGAAACCAAGUCCGAAUAGGGCGAAAGUCGCGGGGCGUAGACCCGAAGCCCGACGAUCUAUCCAUGGCCAGGUUGAAACGCGGGUAAUACCGCGCGGAGGACCGAACCCACCUUAGUUGAAAAUAAGGGGGAUGAGCUGUGGAUCGGAGUGAAAGGCUAAUCAAGUCGGGGAAUAGCUGGUUCUCCUCGAAAUAUAUUGAGGUAUAGCCUCGGAUGAAUACCCGCGGGGGUAGAGCACUGAAUGGGCUAGGGGACCUACCAGUCUACCAAACCCAAUCAAACUCCGAAUACCGCGGAGUAGUGUCCGGGAGUCAGGCAGCGGGAGAUAAGUUCCGUUGCCGAGAGGGAAAGAGCCCAGACCGUCAGCUAAGGUCCCAAAGUCUGUGCUUAGUGUCAAAGGAUGGUGGAGGCGCAUUGACAGCCAGGAGGUUGGCUUAGAAGCAGCCAUCCUUUAAAAGAAGCGUAAUAGCUCACUGGUCAAGCGAAU
RNAcentral lists this ribosomal RNA (562 nucleotides) under uncultured bacterium. RNAcentral's name for it is "bacterial LSU rRNA". It matches the Rfam family "Bacterial large subunit ribosomal RNA", at positions 595 to 1158 of the family's 2925-position model. The record is from RNAcentral.